CGCAUCUGUGCAUGCAGCAUAUCAAUAAGCGGAGGAAAAGAAACUAACAAGGAUUCCCCUAGUAACGGCGAGUGAAGCGGGAAGAGCUCAAAUUUGAAAUCUUAAAGGGUUUCCCUUUACGAAUUGUAGUUUAAAGAAGUGUUUUCUGUUGAGGUUCUGGUAAAAGUUCUUUGGAAUAGGACAUCAUAGAGGGUGAGAAUCCCGUAUUUGACCUUUACUUUCAACUUUGUGAUACACUUUCAAAGAGUCGGAUUGUUUGGGAAUGCAGUCCAAAAUGGGUGGUAAAUUUCAUCUAAAGCUAAAUAUUGGCGAGAGACCGAUAGCGAACAAGUACCGUGAGGGAAAGAUGAAAAGAACUUUGGAAAGAGAGUUAAACAGUACGUGAAAUUGUCAAAAGGGAAGCGUUUGACACCAGUGUUGUUUUUCUGAAAAUCAAUUAAAGAACUGUUUAUGCUAAGUUGUUUAGACUUUAUCAGCUAACUGUUUAGUUUUGAGCUUUUCUUUAAUGCACUUUUCAGUUAACAAGUCAACAUCAAUUUCUUUUGCUGUAAAAAAGCUUGAGGAAGGUGGCUUGAGAUUCGUCUUAAGUGUUUAUAGCCUCUUGCCUAUGCAGUCGGAGAGAUUGAGGUCUGCAGCGUAGAUCCUUCGGGGCUAAAUGCAUUUGUGCUAAGUUAUAGCCUUUCAUAGACAACUUGUUGACUAUGAUCUGUCAUGUAGCUUACUCGCUUAUGUCAUUUUACCUACGCUUAGGAUGUUGAUAUGCAUGACUGAUAU
Molecule: ribosomal RNA, 774 nt
Filed under: uncultured Neocallimastigales
Lineage: Eukaryota; Fungi; Neocallimastigomycota; Neocallimastigomycetes; Neocallimastigales
Description: partial large subunit ribosomal RNA
Rfam family: Eukaryotic large subunit ribosomal RNA
Source: RNAcentral